This is a long non-coding RNA of Oreochromis aureus, 535 nucleotides long. RefSeq lists it as uncharacterized. Lineage: Eukaryota; Metazoa; Chordata; Actinopteri; Cichliformes; Cichlidae. The transcript has 3 exons. The record is from RefSeq and is a predicted model, not a curated record.
CACAACACAUUUUGUUUAGGACUCCUGUAAUAUAACUAUUUUUGUUUUCUUAUUUAGGAUGAAACUAAAGAAAAGGCGUCUCAUGGAUAUCUCACCAUGUGACCAGGGAGAAGAUUAUGAUGCAGAUUCAAGUGGUGGAUCAAACAUGCUUUUGCCACCCAGGAGCAGUUCUGGUGACAACAGUUCCCUGUUCAGGGCACUACCAACUCUCUUCCCAUCAAGAGCUGCACCACCCAAGAAGAUGGGACAUGCCAGUGAAGCACUGAUUCAUGUCCUUCAGAAGAUCCAGCAUCAGCCCUGUUCUGGUCUUUGAAGGGUCCCGCUGUCUUAUUGCAGUUGGAACCACUCCCAUCACCACAUUCGCCACAGAUGACCUUGGAGAAGGUUUGCUGUAUCUUAUGGCAUACUACUACACCCUGCAUCUCACCUAUCCUAAAUGUGUCGCAACGCUUCUGUCUGUCAUUCAGACUGAAGUGUUAAAGGACAAUAUCCAUGAGCAAGACACCACAGGCUCAUACAAAAAAGUCAUGGCAGG